UGGGGAAUAUUGCACAAUGGGGGAAACCCUGAUGCAGCGACGCCGCGUGAGCGAAGAAGGCCUUCGGGUCGUAAAGCUCUUUUAUAUGGGAAGAUAAUGACGGUACCAUAAGAAAAAGCCCCGGCUAACUACGUGCCAGCAGCCGCGGUAAUACGUAGGGGGCGAGCGUUGUCCGGAAUUACUGGGCGUAAAGGGUUCGCAGGCGGCAUGGCAAGUCCGAUGUAAAAGGCGAAGGCUCAACCUUCGUAAGCAUCGGAAACUGUCAAGCUUGAGUGAAGGAGAGGCAAGUGGAAUUCCUAGUGUAGCGGUGGAAUGCGUAGAUAUUAGGAGGAAUACCGGUGGCGAAGGCGACUUGCUGGACUUCAACUGACGCUGAGGAACGAAAGCGUGGGUAGCAAACAGG
This 403-nucleotide ribosomal RNA is filed under the name Verrucomicrobiota bacterium. RNAcentral describes it as "Verrucomicrobia bacterium partial 16S ribosomal RNA". It matches the Rfam family "Bacterial small subunit ribosomal RNA", at positions 355 to 776 of the family's 1533-position model. Lineage: Bacteria; Pseudomonadati; Verrucomicrobiota. The record is from RNAcentral.